Long non-coding RNA from Hypanus sabinus (Atlantic stingray), 527 nucleotides. RefSeq lists it as uncharacterized. The transcript is spliced from 3 exons. Lineage: Eukaryota; Metazoa; Chordata; Chondrichthyes; Myliobatiformes; Dasyatidae. The record is from RefSeq and is a predicted model, not a curated record.
AGUUUGCACUUUAUCCCGUUGUGAUGCGGUUUGAACGGCAUCGUCUGGAUGAAAGCAUUACAUCAACAAGAUGUGACAACAAGAACGGAAGAGAGGGGAGAGAGAGAGCAAAAACAAAUGGAUGGCGGGCAUCACUGAAUCGUGGCUGACAAAAGUUUAUAGUUGGGUGCUUAAAUCCAAGGAUAAAUAUUGAAUCGAAAGGAUACGCAGACAGAGCCAAUGAAUCCCAACGAGAACAGAGUUACUCACGGGUGUAACACACUUGAUUUUCUAAUACCACUCAUGGCUGAAUAGGUCAGAUCUAGGACAAGACAAUCACUGUUUGUGAGCUCCAAGGAGAAUGACCUGAAAUGGAGUGUCCCUGUCUCUCAUUCGUCAGAUAUUCAGCAAGUUAGCAGAUUUUUGUUUGUUUGCCCUUUCCCUUUCAGGAAAUCCUAUUGAUCUUCUUCCCUUUCAGGACAACCUGUUGAUUUUUUGGGAUCAUGAGAUAUCAGCUAGUCACUAGAUUUAUUUUAUGUUUUGUGCUU